UGAGACCAGCCUAGGAAACAGAGGGAGACCU
This 31-nucleotide non-coding RNA is filed under the name Homo sapiens (human). The record is from RNAcentral. Lineage: Eukaryota; Metazoa; Chordata; Mammalia; Primates; Hominidae.